RNAcentral lists this ribosomal RNA (453 nucleotides) under uncultured bacterium. RNAcentral's name for it is "bacterial SSU rRNA". It matches the Rfam family "Bacterial small subunit ribosomal RNA", at positions 340 to 786 of the family's 1533-position model. The record is from RNAcentral.
UACGGAAGGCAGCAGUGGGGAAUAUUGCACAAUGGGCGCAAGCCUGAUGCAGCCAUGCCGCGUGUAUGAAGAAGGCCUUCGGGUUGUAAAGUACUUUCAGUCGUGAGGAAGGUGUUAAGGUUAAUAACCUUAGCAAUUGACGUUAGCGACAGAAGAAGCACCGGCUAACUCCGUGCCAGCAGCCGCGGUAAUACGGAGGGUGCGAGCGUUAAUCGGAAUUACUGGGCGUAAAGGGCACGCAGGCGGUUAAUUAAGUUGGAUGUGAAAUCCCCGGGCUUAACCUGGGAAUGGCAUUCAAGACUGGUUAGCUAGAGUCUUGUAGAGGGGGUAGAAUUCCAUGUGUAGCGGUGAAAUGCGUAGAGAUGUGGAGGAAUACCGGUGGCGAAGCGGCCCCUGGACAAAGACUGACGCUCAUGUGCGAAAGCGUGGGGAGCAAACGAGGGAUUAGAUACC